Molecule: ribosomal RNA, 253 nt
Filed under: uncultured bacterium
Lineage: Bacteria
Description: partial 16S ribosomal RNA
Rfam family: Bacterial small subunit ribosomal RNA
Source: RNAcentral
UACGUAGGGGCCAAGCGUUGUCCGGAUUUAUUGGGCGUAAAGGGUGCGUAGGCGGGUCUUUAAGUCAGGGGGGAAAUCCUGGAGCUCAACUCCAGAACUGCCUUUGAUACUGAGGAUCUUGAGUUCGGGAGAGGUGAGUGGAACUGCGAGUGUAGAGGUGAAAUUCGUAGAUAUUCGCAAGAACACCAGUGGCGAAGGCGGCUCACUGGCCCGGUACUGACGCUGAGGUGCGAAAGCGUGGGGAGCAAACAGG